This 363-nucleotide ribosomal RNA is filed under the name uncultured bacterium. Its description in RNAcentral is "bacterial SSU rRNA". It matches the Rfam family "Bacterial small subunit ribosomal RNA", at positions 29 to 418 of the family's 1533-position model. The record is from RNAcentral.
AGCGAACGCUGGCGGCAGGCUUAACACAUGCAAGUCGAACGGGCACUUCGGUGUCAGUGGCGGACGGGUGAGUAACGCGUGGGAACAUACCUUUCGGUUCGGAACAACACAGGGAAACUUGUGCUAAUACCGGAUAAGCCCUUACGGGGAAAGAUUUAUCGCCGAAGAUUGGCCCGCGUCUGAUUAGCUAGUUGGUGAGGUAACGGCUCACCAAGGCGACGAUCAGUAGCUGGUCUGAGAGGAUGAUCAGCCACAUUGGGACUGAGACACGGCCCAAACUCCUACGGGAGGCAGCAGUGGGGAAGUAUUGGACAAUGGGCGGCAAGCCUGAUCCAGCCAUGCCGCGUGAGUGAUGAAGGCCUU